GAUCCUGGCUCAGGAUGAACGCUAGCUACAGGCUUAACACAUGCAAGUCGAGGGGCAGCAUCAUCAAAGCUUGCUUUGAUGGAUGGCGACCGGCGCACGGGUGAGUAACACGUAUCCAACCUGCCGACAACACUGGGAUAGCCUUUCGAAAGAAAGAUUAAUACCGGAUGGUAUAGUUUUCCCGCAUGGUAUGAUUAUUAAAGAAUUUCGGUUGUCGAUGGGGAUGCGUUCCAUUAGG
RNAcentral lists this ribosomal RNA (238 nucleotides) under uncultured bacterium. RNAcentral describes it as "partial 16S ribosomal RNA". It matches the Rfam family "Bacterial small subunit ribosomal RNA", at positions 15 to 245 of the family's 1533-position model. The record is from RNAcentral.